Molecule: ribosomal RNA, 253 nt
Filed under: uncultured bacterium
Lineage: Bacteria
Description: partial 16S ribosomal RNA
Rfam family: Bacterial small subunit ribosomal RNA
Source: RNAcentral
GACGUAGGGCGCGAGCGUUGUCCGGAUUUAUUGGGCGUAAAGAGCUCGUAGGCGGCUUGUCGCGUCGUCCGUGAAAACCCGCAGCUCAACUGUGGGCUUGCAGCUGAUACGGGCGGGCUGGAGUUCGGUAGGGGAGACUGGAAUUCCUGGUGUAGCGGUGAAAUGCGCAGAUAUCAGGAGGAACACCGGUGGCGAAGGCGGGUCUCUGGGCCGAUACUGACGCUGAGGAGCGAAAGCGUGGGGAGCGAACAGG